UAACCAUAUGCGUCUCCGUUGUUCUAAUUACAGAUUUGGCCAUUUCUUCUCGCCCCAAACGCACCCGUCUGCCGAUACCCAACAAAACCAACACAUCUUUUGAUUUCCACCGGUUCACUCCUCCACCACACUCCACCCGCGGCCAUGAUUCUCCCGUCUUCUCUCUCCGCUUCAAUUUCUGCUGUGUGUUAUGCUUCAUCACUACCCGCCAACCCUUUCUCCACUGUCUAUGCUCUGCGUUUCCAUUCUGCCUUUCCUCUUUUCCAGCGACCAGAAGCCGGCUGCCUAUGGGGUUCCUUCCUCGCCCAGUUGUAGCCUAUGCCCAGCAUGUUUGCGGAGUCGAAUUGUCCGACCUCACUAUUCCACGACCUAUUCCGCUCGGAACUCAGAUUGCACUGGCAUCUGACUUUUUUUGUGAAUUGCAAAUCACCCAAAUGAUUCUAUCGAGUUGUUUUUCUUUGUUAUAUUGCAGCUUUUGGAGAGCAAUAUUUAGGAGGCAAUUUGGAGCUCGCACACAGUCUGCAAAUUUUAUAUGUACAUUUUUUUUUCCCCUUUUACAAGCAGCUAUACUGGUAAGAUUUCUUAUUGGAUGGGCUAAAUUGGUAGCUUAAACCUUUCUGUAGGACUACAGUUGAAGUGAGUGAGAUGUAGGGGAAUCUUAACAAUAGCAGUGGUCUGUUUGCGUUUUAGAAGAUGGAGGAAAAAUAUUAAAAUUUAUAUGCUCGAUAUGUUUGGUCUGUGUGUAACUUCAUUUAGUUACAAAAACAACUACAUGGUUGUUGUAAAUUGUUGAAUAUCAAUUAACGAAGCAGCCAGGAAAACUCAACAACUGACUAAACACUACUGUCACAAACUGUUAUCUUAUGGUUUAUCCCUGGUUUUCUGCCUCCCUUUUUAAGAGUUGUUUUGCCUACUGUAUUGUUCCAAUAAUUUGUAUAAGAAAAGAUGGAUCACUGAGCUAAUUUUCAACUUUGGUUGUUAUAUCUUCAUUUCUAAUUCAUGACCUUCUGAUUUUAAUAUGAGGAAAGCCAACUUGGCUCUAUAACGGUUAAACUAUGCCUAGCCAGGCCUUUUCCUUUUGCACAUUUAGUUAUUUUAUUGUGUGUAAUGUAAUGCAUAAAAUAAACAUUGUUGUUAUGGUUCGCCAUUGAUUCGGCGUCCUUUUCUUUUUCUUUUUUUCCCAUAUAUGACCAAAUGACUACUAUUACGAGCUCUUUUCAACAUCUUUUUAAACCCAUAUGGACUGUGGAGCCUCAAAGUAAUAGCUCAUGGGGUUGGAAAAAGCUGAUGAAGCUGAGAGAUAUCACUGAAUCGAAGGUGAGCGAUAGAGUGGGGGAUGGGAACAACGUAUCUUUCUGGUAUGACAGAUGGUGUGUUGGGGGUCCUUUGGUUAAGCUGUGUUCCAAUGGAUUGCUCCGUUUUUCCCUCUAUUGCUGCAGGGCAAAAACGGAGUCAUGUAUAUAAAGAAGGGCAAUGGAUGUGGCCUAGAUUUAGAGAUCCACAGGCUGAGUUUAUCCGGAAUACUAUUACUGCUUCUGUUGGUUAUGCUUUUCGUGGUACAGUUCUCUGGAACUCUCAGCCAAAAUUUGUGCUCGCUGAAGUUAAAAAUGAUUUAAGGGCGAAUGACACACAAGAUGAAGCUCGAGACCCACUACACAACAUUUAAGGAAAAAAAACUCCAAAUACAACGGUGCAUAUCAUACUUGUAUGGCCAAUGCAUGGUUUGGAUACACCGUUAUAUAUCAUAUAACUUCUUUUUUUUCGUCAACAGUAGCAUUUUAUUAAAGAGCAAACAUAAUAUACAUAGGAUUGCAAACAUAAUAUACAUUACUAAUUCUCCGACAAUUAUCCCAUUUGGGUUACCAAUAAUUAUAUAGAUCUGGAACUUUAUCAUUGUA
This is a non-coding RNA of Punica granatum (pomegranate), 1898 nucleotides long. NCBI's taxonomy places the organism in Eukaryota, Viridiplantae, Streptophyta, Magnoliopsida, Myrtales, Lythraceae. The record is from RefSeq and is a predicted model, not a curated record.